UGCGUAGGUGGCGCGCUAAGUCAGGUGUGAAAUUUCGGAGCUUAACUCCGAAACUGCAUUUGAUACUGGCAUGCUUGAGGACUGGAGAGGAGACUGGAAUUCACGGUGUAGCAGUGAAAUGCGUAGAUAUCGUGAGGAAGACCAGUGGCGAAGGCGGGUCUCUGGACAGUUCCUGACACUGAGGCACGAAGGCCAGGGGAGCAAACG
This 207-nucleotide ribosomal RNA is filed under the name uncultured bacterium. RNAcentral's name for it is "partial 16S ribosomal RNA". It matches the Rfam family "Bacterial small subunit ribosomal RNA", at positions 568 to 774 of the family's 1533-position model. The record is from RNAcentral.